GUAAGGAAUAUUGGUCAAUGGGGGAAACCCUGAUCCAGCCAUGCCGCGUGAGUGAAGAAGGCCUUCGGGUUGUAAAACUCUUUCAGAUGUGAAGAUGAUGACGGUAACAUCAGAAGAAGCUCCGGCUAACUUCGUGCCAGCAGCCGCGGUAAUACGAAGGGAGCGAGCGUUGUUCGGAAUCACUGGGCGUAAAGAGUGCGUAGGCGGUUAUACAAGUCAGGAGUGAAAUCCCAGAGCUUAACUUUGGAAUUGCUUUUGAAACUGUAUAGCUAGAGUCCCGGAGGGGUUAAUGGAAUUCCGAGUGUAGAGGUGAAAUUCGCAGAUAUUCGGAGGAACACCAGUGGCGAAGGCGAUUAACUGGACGGGCACUGACGCUGAGGCACGAAAGCGUGGGGAUCAAACAGGAUUAGAUACCCUAGUAGUCC
This 425-nucleotide ribosomal RNA is filed under the name uncultured bacterium. RNAcentral describes it as "partial 16S ribosomal RNA". It matches the Rfam family "Bacterial small subunit ribosomal RNA", at positions 354 to 796 of the family's 1533-position model. The record is from RNAcentral.